This 253-nucleotide ribosomal RNA is filed under the name uncultured bacterium. RNAcentral's name for it is "partial 16S ribosomal RNA". It matches the Rfam family "Bacterial small subunit ribosomal RNA", at positions 524 to 776 of the family's 1533-position model. The record is from RNAcentral.
UACGUAGGUGGCGAGCGUUGUCCGGAUUUACUGGGCGUAAAGAGCGCGCAGGCGGUCGUUCAAGUCGAGUGUGAAAGCCCCCGGCUCAACUGGGGAGGGUCACUCGAUACUGAUCGACUCGAAGGCAGGAGAGGGAAGUGGAAUUCCCGGUGUAGUGGUGAAAUGCGCAGAUAUCAGGAGGAACACCGGUGGCGAAGGCGGUUCUCUGGGCAUGAUCUGACGCUGAGGAGCGAAAGUGUGGGGAGCGAACAGG